This 386-nucleotide ribosomal RNA is filed under the name Foraminifera environmental sample. RNAcentral describes it as "SSU rRNA". It matches the Rfam family "Eukaryotic small subunit ribosomal RNA", at positions 1128 to 1441 of the family's 1831-position model. The record is from RNAcentral. Lineage: Eukaryota; Foraminifera.
GUCGCACGUGUGAAACUUGAAGGAAUUGACGGAAGGGCACCACAAGAACGCGUGGAGCAUGUGGCUUAAUUUGACUCAACGCGGGAAAUCUUACCGGGUCCGGACACACUGAGGAUUGACAGGCAAUAUUAGCACUUCUUCAUGUCAUUGUUACAGGUGCAUUGAAGUAGUUGUUAUGUUAAAUAUGCUAGUCCUUUCAUGAUUAUGUGAUAGGUGGUGCAUGGCCGUUCUUAGUUCGUGGAGUGAUCUGUCUGCUUAAUUGCGUUUCACUAAGGGCCUAUAAUUUAACGUGUGUUGCGGCACUUUGACCCCUCUUUUUUUAAAGAGCGCGUGUCUUAGUUUGUUUAGCUCGCACAAUUAGGUCCUGAAAGCAACGAACGUGACCG